RNAcentral lists this ribosomal RNA (503 nucleotides) under uncultured Glomus. RNAcentral's name for it is "SSU rRNA". It matches the Rfam family "Eukaryotic small subunit ribosomal RNA", at positions 569 to 1074 of the family's 1831-position model. Lineage: Eukaryota; Fungi; Glomeromycota; Glomeromycetes; Glomerales; Glomeraceae. The record is from RNAcentral.
AGCAGCCGCGGUAAUUCCAGCUCCAAUAGCGUAUAUUAAAGUUGCUGCAGUUAAAAAGGCUCGUAGUUGAAUUUCGGGAUCAAUAUGUUGGUCGUGCCUCGGUACGUACUGGCAUUAUUGAUUUCUCCCUUCUGAAGAACCGCGAUGUCAUUAAUUUGGUGUCGUGGGGAAUCAGGACUGUUACUUUGAAAAAAUUAGAGUGUUUAAAGCAGGCGCACGCUUGAAUACAUUAGCAUGGAAUAAUGAAAUAGGACGUUUGAUUCUAUUUUGUUGGUUUCUAGGAUCGACGUAAUGAUUAAUAGGGAUAGUUGGGGGCAUUAGUAUUCAAUUGUCAGAGGUGAAAUUCUUGGAUUUAUUGAAGACUAACUACUGCGAAAGCAUUUGCCAAGGAUGUUUUCAUUAAUCAAGAACGAAAGUUAGGGGAUCGAAGACGAUCAGAUACCGUCGUAGUCUUAACCAUAAACUAUGCCGACUAGGGAUCGGAUGAUGUUAAUUUUUAAUGA